This 107-nucleotide small nuclear RNA is filed under the name Tursiops truncatus (common bottlenose dolphin). Lineage: Eukaryota; Metazoa; Chordata; Mammalia; Artiodactyla; Delphinidae. RNAcentral also lists the same sequence under 1 other name. The record is from RNAcentral.
GUGCUUGCUUCAGCAGCAUAUAUACUAAAAUUGGAACGAUACAGAGAAGAUUAGCAUGGCCCCUGUGCAAGGAUGACACGCAAAUUCAUGAAGCAUUCCAUAUUUUU